Molecule: long non-coding RNA, 1032 nt
Organism: Ziziphus jujuba (common jujube)
Lineage: Eukaryota; Viridiplantae; Streptophyta; Magnoliopsida; Rosales; Rhamnaceae
Exons: 5
Source: RefSeq, a predicted model, not a curated record
AUUUCUUUCUCUCACUGAUCAAUACCUCACCCACCACAUUUCACAUCCAGACAGAGCUUUUACAGCUUUAGCAGCUCACCUCUUCUUCUCUGCUACUUGUCUUCUGGUGAUGUUCUUCCCUAACAUCCGUCUACAAUCCCAUCGCUUCCAAUUAGCUCCCUCUGGCCAUAAUCAAUGAUAUUUACCUUCUAGACUUCGUGGAUCUGUCUGGGUUUGUUCAGGAAAUCUCUUCCAAGGUCAGCAGAGUGGUGGUUUCGGAUCACUACAAGACCGUAGUAGAUUGCAGUGAGAGUUCUUGUUCAGUUGGUGAGAAUGUGGAGAAGGUUAUUGACAUCCAGAGGAGUGAAGCUACUGUUGUUUUUUAUUAUUUCAAGGAAAGACCUGGUAGUGGUCUAAAAUAUUUGAAUUUUGUUUCGAUGAGGGUUUGAUCUUUGAAUCCAUCUUCGUUCAAGCGGGAUGUAAUUAGUCAGGAAUUAACCGGCUUAUCCUAGAAGCAGGAAUGAUUCUCUCGGUCAAUCAUAUGAGAUUGCUCUUGUGGCUGGAGCAUUUGGAGAUUGCCUGGCUAUGAAAGCUGAUUCUGUAUUGGAGUUGAGGAGUGAACUUGGACAUAAAUUAGCCAACAAAAGGUGUAAUCUAAAGUUAAGGUGUUGAGGCUUUUAUGAAGUUUUCUUAUGAAGUUCUUAUGCCACCGUCUGAUCUUCGCUACUGGAGCUACAGCUAGGGUUAGCAGACAGAACUGUGAAAUUCUGGGAUUUGGAAACCUUUGAACUGAUUCAAUAUACAAGCCUCGGAGCCACCACAUUUGACGUCUACUUGGUGAGCGAGCAGGUCUGCAGCCGAAGAGAGCUUGGGAGAGAGAAGAGAAAGAGAGAGAGAGUAUGUCUGCAGCUGGUGUUCUUUCUUAUAUUUUUUAUCAUUAAAGAAUGUUGCACUCAUCAUGUUCUAUGGUGCAAUACAUUGUUAAAAAAUAAUUGUAAAUUUGGAUGAUUUGUGAAAGAAAAAUUUAAACGCAAUUUUGAUGAUAAUUAAAAA